UGCUCGAGUGGCGAACGGGUGAGUAACACGUGAGUAACCUGCCCUUGACUUUGGGAUAACUCCAGGAAACUGGGGCUAAUACCGGAUAGGAGCUCCUGCUGCAUGGUGGGGGUUGGAAAGUUUCGGCGGUUGGGGAUGGACUCGCGGCUUAUCAGCUUGUUGGUGGGGUAGUGGCUUACCAAGGCUUUGACGGGUAGCCGGCCUGAGAGGGUGACCGGCCACAUUGGGACUGAGAUACGGCCCAG
Molecule: ribosomal RNA, 245 nt
Filed under: uncultured bacterium
Lineage: Bacteria
Description: partial 16S ribosomal RNA
Rfam family: Bacterial small subunit ribosomal RNA
Source: RNAcentral